GCCAGGCAUGGCAGCUCACACCUGUAAUCCCAGCACUCUGGGAGGCUGAGGUGUGUGGAUCGCCUGAGCUAAUGAGAUUCAGACCAGCCUGAGUCAGAGUGAGACCUUGUCUCUAAAAAUAG
This is a long non-coding RNA of Otolemur garnettii (small-eared galago), 122 nucleotides long. RefSeq lists it as uncharacterized. The record is from RefSeq and is a predicted model, not a curated record. The transcript has 2 exons. NCBI's taxonomy places the organism in Eukaryota, Metazoa, Chordata, Mammalia, Primates, Galagidae.